CCUACGGGAGGCAGCAGUGGGGAAUAUUGCACAAUGGGGGAAACCCUGAUGCAGCGACGCCGCGUGAGUGAAGAAGUAAUUCGUUAUGUAAAGCUCUAUCAGCAGGGAAGUAAAUGACGGUACCUGUGUAAGCAGCCCCGGCUAACUACGUGCCGGCAGCCGCGGUAAUACGUAGGGGGCAAGCGUGAUCCGGAUUUACUGGGUGUAAAGGGAGCGUAGACGGGAGUGCAAGUCUGGAGUGAAAGUCGGGGGCUCAACCCCCGGAUUGCACUGGAAACUGUACGGCUGGAGUGCAGGAGAGGUAAGUGGAAUUCGUAGUGUAGCGGUGAAAUGCGUAGAUAUUAGGAGGAACACCAGUGGCGAAGGCGGCUUACUGGACUGUAACUGACGUUGAGGCUCGAAAGCGUGGGGAGCAAACAGGAUUAGAUACCCGAGUAGUC
Molecule: ribosomal RNA, 440 nt
Filed under: uncultured bacterium
Lineage: Bacteria
Description: partial 16S ribosomal RNA
Rfam family: Bacterial small subunit ribosomal RNA
Source: RNAcentral